CCGGUCUGAAAAUGACCGCAGGUACUGACCGUGUUCUGGGGUCAGAUAACCGGGCCGACAGGAUUCUGGUACAUUAAGCUCACGGCCUGCUCUGUCCGUCAGCAGACUGAUGAAACCCAUGUACCGACACGC
Fundulus heteroclitus (mummichog) is the source of this 132-nucleotide small nucleolar RNA. NCBI's taxonomy places the organism in Eukaryota, Metazoa, Chordata, Actinopteri, Cyprinodontiformes, Fundulidae. The record is from Ensembl.